CGGAGCGUAGCGCAGCCUGGUAGCGCACUACACUGGGGGUGUAGGGGUCGUGGGUUCGAAUCCCGCCGCUCCGACCA
This 77-nucleotide transfer RNA is filed under the name Rhodospirillaceae bacterium. Its description in RNAcentral is "tRNA-Pro". It matches the Rfam family "tRNA". Rfam says of the family: Transfer RNA (tRNA) molecules are approximately 80 nucleotides in length. Their secondary structure includes four short double-helical elements and three loops (D, anti-codon, and T loops). The record is from RNAcentral. RNAcentral also lists the same sequence under 3 other names. Lineage: Bacteria; Pseudomonadati; Pseudomonadota; Alphaproteobacteria; Rhodospirillales; Rhodospirillaceae.